UUGAUCUUGGGUUUCAGUUGAACGCUGGCGGCAGGCCUAACACAUGCAAGUCGAGCGGAUGACAGGAGCUUGCUCCUGAAUUCAGCGGCGGACGGGUGAGUAAUGCCUAGGAAUCUGCCUGGUAGUGGGGGACAACGUUUCGAAAGGAACGCUAAUACCGCAUACGUCCUACGGGAGAAAGCAGGGGACCUUCGGGCCUUGCGCUAUCAGAUGAGCCUAGGUCGGAUUAGCUAGUUGGUGAGGUAAUGGCUCACCAAGGCGACGAUCCGUAACUGGUCUGAGAGGAUGAUCAGUCACACUGGAACUGAGACACGGUCCAGACUCCUACGGGAGGCAGCAGUGGGGAAUAUUGGACAAUGGGCGAAAGCCUGAUCCAGCCAUGCCGCGUGUGUGAAGAAGGUCUUCGGAUUGUAAAGCACUUUAAGUUGGGAGGAAGGGCAGUAACUUAAUACGUUGCUGUUUUGACGUUACCGACAGAAUAAGCACCGGCUAACUCUGUGCCAGCAGCCG
This 510-nucleotide ribosomal RNA is filed under the name Pseudomonas jessenii. RNAcentral's name for it is "bacterial SSU rRNA". It matches the Rfam family "Bacterial small subunit ribosomal RNA", at positions 13 to 517 of the family's 1533-position model. Lineage: Bacteria; Pseudomonadati; Pseudomonadota; Gammaproteobacteria; Pseudomonadales; Pseudomonadaceae. The record is from RNAcentral.